Neofelis nebulosa (Clouded leopard) is the source of this 104-nucleotide small nuclear RNA. NCBI's taxonomy places the organism in Eukaryota, Metazoa, Chordata, Mammalia, Carnivora, Felidae. The record is from RefSeq and is a predicted model, not a curated record.
GUGCUCACUUCCGCAGCACAUAUACUAAAACUGGAAUGAUACACAGAUUAGCACGGCCCCUGCACAAGGAUGACACACACACCUGUGAAGGUUUCUACAUUGUU